UUUUCAGGACAAAUUUGUUAGUAAUUAAAGAAGUUGAGAGACUAAGUGGUAAUGAAGAAAAGUUCAGGGACUGAAAGUUGAUAUGGAGAGAAAAAAAAAAAGGAAGAGAAAGGGAUGAUCGAUGGGGGAGGAAGGGAAGCUUUUGCUGCCGGAAAUGGCUGGUAGGGGCGAGGGCGAGCGGAGGCCGUCAAGCUUUGGCGAGGAGUGCUCCAGCGUCGCUACACUGCGUCGAGCUUCGGCCGAGGGGUGCUCCAGCGUCGCCAGCGCAGCACUGCCUUCGUUCUCUCCACUUGAAGCUACCGUCAGCGUCGUUGCAGCUGGUUGUCAAAACAGACGAGUUAACAAGCAUGGCAGUAACUCCGGCAACCAUUUCGGUGAAUCUAGUUUCAAAUGGCCAGCGGCUGGUGCAUUUCUUCGAGGAUAGCAUCAAAUGUGAAGGUUGUUGAGGAAGGAGAUCGAGCAAGAAGAAGCUUGUAAGGACAGUUUAGUUUUUAGAGUUUUUCUGGCUAGUGCCGUUGAGCUUCAAAUGAUCUGAGCACGCAUCCGGACUCUCCUCGUCAUAAGCUUUCCAACGGCACUAGUUUCGUGGCGAUCGAACUCCGUUCGAAAAUCGACGGCCGAGAUCGUCCGUAAAUAUUUUCGGAUGAUCGAGGGUUAGAUCGGAAGAUCGGAAGUGGGGAUCGUCAUCAGAGCGUCAUUUUUAGUCCGUUGGUGUGUUCGGAUCGUCGAUCGGACUCCGGUGGCUGGCGGCGAGUCAACCGAGCAAUCAAGCGCCUCGCUAAUCCGCCAGUUCGGCUUGCUCCAGCCGAGGCAUCGGAGCAGAGAUAGGAGGUCGUUAAAGCUAUCUGUGAUUGUUAGUCUUCCCGCGGCUCUUACCUAGCAACCCGACUCCUUCAUCAUCGGGUGAUGAAAUUGGUUUGGUAUGUUAACUUGUAAAAUCUUAGAUUCUCCGCAGUAGAAAUAAUAGACUUGUCAGUUGUAAAUUAUUGUAGUUUCGGGCCUUGCCUAAUUCUUCGGAUAAACCUAAUUAAUUAUAUAGAAUUUAACGGUUAAGAUAAAUUGUGGCAUCAAUAAUAUCAUAUGAGAUCUAAUUAA
This is a long non-coding RNA of Ricinus communis (castor bean), 1095 nucleotides long. RefSeq lists it as uncharacterized. Lineage: Eukaryota; Viridiplantae; Streptophyta; Magnoliopsida; Malpighiales; Euphorbiaceae. The transcript has 3 exons. The record is from RefSeq and is a predicted model, not a curated record.